Molecule: transfer RNA, 72 nt
Filed under: Camelus bactrianus (Bactrian camel)
Lineage: Eukaryota; Metazoa; Chordata; Mammalia; Artiodactyla; Camelidae
Also listed under: 1 other name
Rfam family: tRNA
About the family: Transfer RNA (tRNA) molecules are approximately 80 nucleotides in length. Their secondary structure includes four short double-helical elements and three loops (D, anti-codon, and T loops).
Source: Rfam by way of RNAcentral
GAAGGUAUAGCUCAGUGGUAGAGCACAUGACUAGCAAGCACAAGACCCUAAGUUCAGGCCCCAGUAUCUCCA